GAUGAACGCUAGCUACAGGCUUAACACAUGCAAGUCGAGGGGCAGCGUGGUCUUAGCUUGCUAAGGCCGAUGGCGACCGGCGCACGGGUGAGUAACACGUAUCCAACCUGCCGUCUACUCUUGGACAGCCUUCUGAAAGGAAGAUUAAUACAAGAUGGCAUCAUGAGUCCGCAUGUUCACAUGAUUAAAGGUAUUCCGGUAGACGAUGGGGAUGCGUUCCAUUAGAUAGUAGGCGGGGUAACGGCCCACCUAGUCUUCGAUGGAUAGGGGUUCUGAGAGGAAGGUCCCCCACAUUGGAACUGAGACACGGUCCAAACUCCUACGGGAGGCAGCAGUGAGGAAUAUUGGUCAAUGGGCGCAGGCCUGAACCAGCCAAGUAGCGUGAAGGAUGACUGCCCUAUGGGUUGUAAACUUCUUUUAUAAAGGAAUAAAGUCGGGUAUGUAUACCCGUUUGCAUGUACUUUAUGAAUAAGGAUCGGCUAACUCCGUG
Molecule: ribosomal RNA, 490 nt
Filed under: uncultured bacterium
Lineage: Bacteria
Description: partial 16S ribosomal RNA
Rfam family: Bacterial small subunit ribosomal RNA
Source: RNAcentral